AUUAGAAGGUUGAGGUUGUCUGUUCUUGGGUGUUCCUGUGAGGCCAAGGGACUUGUCUAUGUUAUGAGAAUCAGAGGCAGAAACUGUUUCAUAUCCCUGUGUAUUAAAUGUUCUCCCUACCAGGUGUAAAGCAGGAAACAGAAGGAUGUGCCCCAAGAACAAAGGGUUCUUUGAAACAAAAGCUGAGAAAACCACUGUGGAAGAUGCUGCCCAACAUGGAAAUGGUUUUGCAGGAGGAACAGCAGCAUGAGCACCUGACAAUUGCUCCUAAGAGACCUCUCAGCAACACUGCAGAACUGAUAUUUGAGUUUAUUACCAAAAAAAGCUCUUCCUGGGAAGGAAUGUGAUAGAGAACUGUUUCCUCAGGUAGCCUGGGUUUAGGAGCUGUCUCUGGAAUCGAGGCCCAAAGUCUUGGCUGCCUACUGUGGAGUCUGGACUCACGUGGCCAGUGCUGUGUGUCCUCUUACCCCAAAAGCUCAGGUCAGCUUCCAGUACAUUUAAGAGAAGGUCAAGGACUGCAAAAAGGAACAACUUCUGGAUGAUUUUGUGGCACUUAAUAGCUGCAGGUGAAAGGAAAAGCCAAAAUAAUGUCCACUCCAAGGGGCGGCUAAGAGUAAAUAUCAUUAGAGAGUAGAGAAUCAAGCUGGGGCAGAGUAACAGGAGACAAGCAGGGAUGAUGUAGCUGAUCCAGGGGGAUUUAUGUAGUGUGCAAACACCCCUUGGUUGAUAACCUAAAAAGAAUGGCACUAAAAGGUCUGUGUUUAUUCUGCAGAGCCCACCUGGGAAUUACUGAGGACUUCAUGGGCACCACACAGAGUUCCUGGGAGCAGAGCAGAGCAAGGGACGGGUGGUGCUCAGAGCUGCCCUGGAACUGGCUGUGGCCAGCACAGAAGUCGUGUGGGAAGUGCCAUGUUUCUCCUGAGACAUGUGUUCCUGAGUUGUGACCACAGCGUUCAAAGGCAGCCAGAAUCCGGCAGGGAGCUGUGCCUGAGGAUCCUGCUGACCAGGAACGUUUAGAGAGGAAGGUGGUUUGCAGAGGAGAGCCAAAAGCUAUUAAUUUUCUCCUGUGCUUCCAGCAGCCCGUUUGGGUUGGUUUGAUGCCUA
Molecule: long non-coding RNA, 1104 nt
Organism: Manacus vitellinus (golden-collared manakin)
Lineage: Eukaryota; Metazoa; Chordata; Aves; Passeriformes; Pipridae
Exons: 3
Source: RefSeq, a predicted model, not a curated record